UACGUAGGCAGCAAGCGUUGUUCGGAGUUACUGGGCGUAAAGAGCUCGUAGGCGGUCUGUCGCGUCGGCUGUGAAAUCCCGAGGCUCAACCUCGGGUCUGCAGUCGAUACGGGCAAACUAGAGUAUUGCAGGGGAGACUGGAAUUCCUGGUGUAGCGGUGAAAUGCGCAGAUAUCAGGAGGAACACCGGUGGCGAAGGCGGGUCUCUGGGCAAUAACUGACGCUGAGGAGCGAAAGCGUGGGGAGCGAACAGG
RNAcentral lists this ribosomal RNA (253 nucleotides) under uncultured bacterium. Its description in RNAcentral is "partial 16S ribosomal RNA". It matches the Rfam family "Bacterial small subunit ribosomal RNA", at positions 524 to 776 of the family's 1533-position model. The record is from RNAcentral.